Molecule: ribosomal RNA, 138 nt
Filed under: uncultured bacterium
Lineage: Bacteria
Description: partial 16S ribosomal RNA
Rfam family: Bacterial small subunit ribosomal RNA
Source: RNAcentral
UGGGGGAUAUUGCACAAUGGGGGGAACCCUGAUGCAGCGACGCCGCGUGGGUGAAGGAGCGUUUCGGCGCGUAAAGCCCUAUCGGCAAGGAAGAAGGAGGACGGUACCUGACUAAGAAGCCCCGGCUAACUACGUGCC